RNAcentral lists this ribosomal RNA (512 nucleotides) under uncultured bacterium. Its description in RNAcentral is "partial 16S ribosomal RNA". It matches the Rfam family "Bacterial small subunit ribosomal RNA", at positions 28 to 507 of the family's 1533-position model. The record is from RNAcentral.
GAUGAACGCUGGCGGCGUGCCUAAUACAUGCAAGUCGAACGAAACUUCUUUAUCACCGAGUGCUUGCACUCACCGAUAAAGAGUUGAGUGGCGAACGGGAGAGUAACACGUGGGCAACCUGCCCAAAAGAGGGGGAUAACACUUGGAAACAGGUGUUAAUACCGCAUAACCAUAGUUACCGCAGGGUAACUAUGUAAAAGGUGGCUAUACUACCGCUUUUGGAUGGGCCCGCGGCGCAUUAGCUAGUUGGUAGGGUAAAGGCUUACCAAGGCAAUGAUGCGUAGCCGAAUUGAGAGGUUGAUCGGCCACAUUGGGACUGAGACACGGCCCAAACUCCUACGGGAGGCAGCAGUAGGGAAUCUUCCACAAUGGGCGAAAGCCUGAUGGAGCAACGCCGCGUGGGUGAAGAAGGUCUUCGGAUCGUAAAACCCUGUUGUUAGAGAAGAAAGUGCGUGAGAGUAACUGUUCACGUUUCGACGGUAUCUAACCAGAAAGCCACGGCUAACUACGUG